GACGACCGCUGGCGGCAGGCCUAACACAUGCAAGUCGAGCGGAGCGGCGGCCGGGUGAGUCAUACCUAGGAAUCUGCGUGGUCGUGGGGGGUCACAUCCGGAAACGGACGCUAAUACCGCAUACUAUCAGAUGAGCCUCGGUCGGAUUAGCUAGUUGGUGGGGUAAAGGCCUACCAAGGCGACGAUCCGUAACUGGUCUGAGAGGAUGAUCAGUCACACGGGAACUGAGACACGGUCCAGACUCCUACGGGAGGCAGCAGUGGGGAAUAGUGGACAAGGGGCGAAAGCAAGAUCCAGCCAUGCAGCGUGUGUGAAGAAGGUCUUCGGAUCGUAAGGGACAGAAAUUUGUGAGGCGCUAGCAACACAAUACGCAGCGGCUAACUUCGGGCCAGCCGCCGCGGUAAUAC
This 407-nucleotide ribosomal RNA is filed under the name uncultured bacterium. RNAcentral's name for it is "partial 16S ribosomal RNA". It matches the Rfam family "Bacterial small subunit ribosomal RNA", at positions 28 to 526 of the family's 1533-position model. The record is from RNAcentral.